GGGGGAUUAGCUCAGUUGGCUAGAGCGUUUGACUGGCAGUCAAGAGGUCAUCGGUGCCUAAAUUGUCGGAAACCAGAUUUCCGCAUCAAUUUCUAGCAUGCUCGUAUUUCUACAAAAUCAAAGAUUUUUGGAAAUAUGGCAUUCGAUUCCGUUAUGCUCCA
Molecule: transfer RNA, 161 nt
Filed under: Bacteroidales bacterium
Lineage: Bacteria; Pseudomonadati; Bacteroidota; Bacteroidia; Bacteroidales
Description: tRNA-Ala
Rfam family: tRNA
About the family: Transfer RNA (tRNA) molecules are approximately 80 nucleotides in length. Their secondary structure includes four short double-helical elements and three loops (D, anti-codon, and T loops).
Source: RNAcentral